Sinocyclocheilus grahami is the source of this 925-nucleotide long non-coding RNA. RefSeq lists it as uncharacterized. NCBI's taxonomy places the organism in Eukaryota, Metazoa, Chordata, Actinopteri, Cypriniformes, Cyprinidae. The transcript has 8 exons. The record is from RefSeq and is a predicted model, not a curated record.
UGAUUACACAUCCGGGACAUUUAGGUGGUGCGUGCUUCAACCAGCCAAAACUCUUCUCGCUGACGCCAUUUUAUUUGAAUCGCCACUCGGAGCGACUAAGCGUAUGUGUUUUAACUGCAUACAUUAUUAUACAUUUAUAAUUGGAGAAGUGCAUAAAUUUGUGUAGCGUUGAGGGCACGCUGCGCGCGCUGGAACUUUUCUCACAGACCAUUUGUUUCGACUGACCCUGCAGACGAGGCCAGUGCUCAUUUACUGGAAAUAUAGACGUUCGGGCUGCAGAGCAGAUAAGACGGCCUACGUUACAAAUAAACUGGAAAAAACGCAGAAGGUUAACGUCAUGUUUGUGAAAGUGCCAUUCAAAGACUCCAAGAACUUCAUAAAGUUGCAGAAUGGAUUCACUUUUACAGAUUUCAUAAAUGAAGAUAGUGCUAGCUGCCUUGAAAGAAAAAUCAAAAGUAGAUGAAGUCCUUGAAGAGUACAUGGCCACCGAUACUUUGUUAAAUUAAAUGAGAAGAGCACUUGUUAACAUACUGGUGGGGCACAUGACAGAGAGGCAUGGGAGGAUUCCAACCCAGAAGCAGAGAGAGCAGUAUGCCCUUGGAAUUGUUACUUUGUUUCCAUCAUUGAAAGACCCAUUUUCCAAGAAGGGAUAUACUGGGACAGUGAUUUAUCUACACUGCUUUUACUGGUUCACCUUCUUCCACCAUCUGCUGGGUGAAAAAUGGCUGCAAAAAUAAGUGCCUCUGAUGCAGUUGAGAAACUUGUGGUGUUUCAUAAGUCAUGCUGCAGCAUUGACGAGCACCUGGGGAAAAGCCAAAGUCAUCAACCAUAUCUUAUAGCCAUGGGGAGGAGUCAAGACAUGAUUGACAGCUACUACAUUGCUCUGGAUAACAAGCUUAUCCCUGGUCAGACGGCUGGUUCUCUG